CGGGACACGUGGUAUCCUGUCUGAAUAUGGGGGGACCAUCCUCCAAGGCUAAAUACUCCUGACUGACCGAUAGUGAACCAGUACCGUGAGGGAAAGGCGAAAAGAACCCCGGCGAGGGGAGUGAAAAAGAACCUGAAACCGUGUACGUACAAGCAGUGGGAGCCUCUUAAUGGGGUGACUGCGUACCUUUUGUAUAAUGGGUCAGCGACUUAUAUUCUGUAGCAAGGUUAACCGAAUAGGGGAGCCGAAGGGAAACCGAGUCUUAACUGGGCGUUAAGUUGCAGGGUAUAGACCCGAAACCCGGUGAUCUAGCCAUGGGCAGGUUGAAGGUUGGGUAACACUAACUGGAGGACCGAACCGACUAAUGUUGAAAAAUUAGCGGAUGACUUGUGGCUGGGGGUGAAAGGCCAAUCAAACCGGGAGAUAGCUGGUUCUCCCCGAAAGCUAUUUAGGUAGCGCCUCGUGAAUUCAUCUCCGGGGGUAGAGCACUGUUUCGGCAAGGGGGUCAUCCCGACUUACCAACCCGAUGCAAACUGCGAAUACCGGAGAAUGUUAUCACGGGAGACACACGGCGGGUGCUAACGUCCGUCGUGAAGAGGGAAACAACCCAGACCGCCAGCUAAGGUCCCAAAGUCAUGGUUAAGUGGGAAACGAUGUGGGAAGGCCCAGACAGCCAGGAUGUUGGCUUAGAAGCAGCCAUCAUUUAAAGAAAGCGUAAUAGCUCACUGGUCGAGUCGGCCUGCGCGGAAGAUGUAACGGGGCUAAACCAUGCACCGAAGCUGCGGCAGCGACACUAUGUGUUGUUGGGUAGGGGAGCGUUCUGUAAGCCUGCGAAGGUGUACUGUGAGGUAUGCUGGAGGUAUCAGAAGUGCGAAUGCUGACAUAAGUAACGAUAAAGCGGGUGAAAAGCCCGCUCGCCGGAAGACCAAGGGUUCCUGUCCAACGUUAAUCGGGGCAGGGUGAGUCGACCCCUAAGGCGAGGCCGAAAGGCGUAGUCGAUGGGAAACAGGUUAAUAUUCCUGUACUUGGUGUUACUGCGAAGGGGGGACGGAGAAGGCUAUGUUGGCCGGGCGACGGUUGUCCCGGUUUAAGCGUGUAGGCUGAUUUUCCAGGCAAAUCCGGAAAAUCAAGGCUGAGGCGUGAUGACGAGGCACUACGGUGCUGAAGCAACAAAUGCCCUGCUUCCAGGAAAAGCCUCUAAGCAUCAGGUAACAUCAAAUCGUACCCCAAACCGACACAGGUGGUCAGGUAGAGAAUACCAAGGCGCUUGAGAGAACUCGGGUGAAGGAACUAGGCAAAAUGGUGCCGUAACUUCGGGAGAAGGCACGCUGAUAUGUAGGUGAAGUCCCUUGCGGAUGGAGCUGAAAUCAGU
This 1372-nucleotide ribosomal RNA is filed under the name Escherichia coli. Its description in RNAcentral is "partial 23S ribosomal RNA". It matches the Rfam family "Bacterial large subunit ribosomal RNA", at positions 418 to 1787 of the family's 2925-position model. Lineage: Bacteria; Pseudomonadati; Pseudomonadota; Gammaproteobacteria; Enterobacterales; Enterobacteriaceae. The record is from RNAcentral.